RNAcentral lists this ribosomal RNA (253 nucleotides) under uncultured bacterium. RNAcentral describes it as "partial 16S ribosomal RNA". It matches the Rfam family "Bacterial small subunit ribosomal RNA", at positions 524 to 776 of the family's 1533-position model. The record is from RNAcentral.
UACGUAGGGCGCAAGCGUUAUCCGGAAUUAUUGGGCGUAAAGAGCUCGUAGGCGGUUUGUCGCGUCUGCCGUGAAAGUCCGGGGCUCAACUCCGGAUCUGCGGUGGGUACGGGCAGACUAGAGUGAUGUAGGGGAGACUGGAAUUCCUGGUGUAGCGGUGAAAUGCGCAGAUAUCAGGAGGAACACCGGUGGCGAAGGCGGUUCUCUGGGCAUUACCUGACGCUGAGGAGCGAAAGCGUGGGGAGCAAACAGG